Nomascus leucogenys (northern white-cheeked gibbon) is the source of this 108-nucleotide small nuclear RNA. The record is from Rfam. Lineage: Eukaryota; Metazoa; Chordata; Mammalia; Primates; Hylobatidae.
GUGCUCGCUUCGGCAGCACAUAUACUAAAAUUGGAAUGAUACAGAGAAAAUUAGCAUGGCCCUUUGUGCGAAGAUGACAAUUUUUUUUUUUUUUUUUUGGUAUUUUUA